RNAcentral lists this ribosomal RNA (500 nucleotides) under uncultured bacterium. Its description in RNAcentral is "partial 16S ribosomal RNA". It matches the Rfam family "Bacterial small subunit ribosomal RNA", at positions 30 to 523 of the family's 1533-position model. The record is from RNAcentral.
AUUGAACGCUGGCGGCAUGCCUUACACAUGCAAGUCGAACGGCAGCACGGGAGCAAUCCUGGUGGCGAGUGGCGAACGGGUGAGUAAAGUAUCGGAACGUGCUCAGUCGUGGGGGAUAACGUAGCGAAAGUUACGCUAAUACCGCAUACGAUCUACGGAUGAAAGCGGGGGAUCGCAAGACCUCGCGCGAUUGGAGCGGCUGAUGUCAGAUUAGGUAGUUGGUGGGGUAAAGGCUCACCAAGCCGACGAUCUGUAGCUGGUCUGAGAGGACGACCAGCCACACUGGGAGUGAGCCAAGGCCCAGACUCCUACGGGAGGAAGCAGUGGGGAAUUUUGGACAAUGGGCGCAAGCCUGAUCCAGCCAUGCCGCGUGCAGGAUGAAGGCCUUCGGGUUGUAAACUGCUUUUGUACGGAACGAAAAGGUUUGGCCUAAUAAGCUGGACCCAUGACGGUACCGUAAGAAUAAGCACCGGCUAACUACGUGCCAGCCGCCGCCGUAA